UACGGAAGGUGCAAGCGUUGUUCGGAAUGACUGGGCGUAAAGAGCACGUAGGCGGGUCUAUAAGUCGGAUGUGAAAGCCCUAGGCUUAACCUAGGAAUGGCAUCCGAAACUGCAGAUCUUGAAUGUCUGAGAGGCUAGCGGAAUUCCAGGUGUAGGAGUGAAAUCCGUAGAUAUCUGGAGGAAUACCGGCGGCGAAGGCGGCUGGCUGGCAGCACAUUGACGCUGAGGUGCGAAAGCGUGGGGAGCAAACAGG
Molecule: ribosomal RNA, 253 nt
Filed under: uncultured bacterium
Lineage: Bacteria
Description: partial 16S ribosomal RNA
Rfam family: Bacterial small subunit ribosomal RNA
Source: RNAcentral